Molecule: non-coding RNA, 82 nt
Organism: Strongyloides papillosus
Lineage: Eukaryota; Metazoa; Nematoda; Chromadorea; Rhabditida; Strongyloididae
Source: Rfam
GGCGGAAUGGCCGAGCGGUCUAAGGCGUUGGAUUUAAGACCCAAUAUCGUAAGAUGCGUGGGUUCGAACCCCACUUCCGUCA